Molecule: ribosomal RNA, 497 nt
Filed under: uncultured bacterium
Lineage: Bacteria
Description: bacterial SSU rRNA
Rfam family: Bacterial small subunit ribosomal RNA
Source: RNAcentral
GAUGAACGCUAGCGGAAGGCUUAAUACAUGCAAGUCGAGCGGUAAAAAAUCUGAGCAAUUGGAUUUGAGAGCGGCGCACGGGUGAGUAACGCGUACAUGACCUACCUUUAAGAUCGGGAUAGCCCUGGGAAACUGGGAUUAAUACCGGAUGUGAUAAUAAGUAUAGAGAUUUAUUAUUAAAGCUGAGGCGCUUAGAGAUGGGUGUGCGUCUGAUUAGCUAGUUGGUAGGGUAAAGGCCUACCAAGGCGACGAUCAGUAGGGGGCGUGAGAGCGUGAUCCCCCACACGGGUACUGAGACACGGACCCGACUCCUACGGGAGGCAGCAGUAGGGAAUAUUGGUCAAUGGACGGAAGUCUGAACCAGCCAAUUCCGCGUGCAGGAAGAAGAUUCUAUGGAUUGUAAACUGCUUUUAGCAGAGAAGAAAAGCCUUCAUUGAUGGGGUCUGACGGUAUCUGCGGAAUAAGCACCGGCUAACUCCGUGCCAGCAGCCGACGGU